CUGGCCUUAAAAGUAUUAGCUGACCCUUGUUUGUGGGAUUGGUUCUACUCAGCGUGAUAAUUUAUGACCGCUGAGGACAUCUUUCGGGAUGGCCAGCUCUGCCUUGGAUCGCUUCUAAUCCUGGUAUUUGGAGUCCGCUCCUUAUCCUUAACUUUUUCAACUUUGACCUCGAAUCAGGUGGGACUACCCGCUGAACUUAA
Molecule: unclassified non-coding RNA, 200 nt
Filed under: soil metagenome
Description: partial contains internal transcribed spacer 2 and large subunit ribosomal RNA
Source: RNAcentral